CACGUAGGGGGCAAGCGGUGUCCGGAUUUAUUGGGCGUAGAGAGCUCGUAGGUGGUUCGGUAAGUCGGGUGUGAAACCUCCAGGCUCAACCUGGAGACGCCACCUGAUAUUGCUGUGACUGGAGUCCGGUAGGGGAGCGUGGAAUUCCUGGUGUAGCGGUGAAAUGCGCAGAUAUCAGGAGGAACACCAGCGGCGAAGGCGGCGCUCUGGGCCGGUACUGACACUGAGGAGCGAAAGCGUGGGUAGCAAACAGG
This 254-nucleotide ribosomal RNA is filed under the name uncultured bacterium. RNAcentral's name for it is "partial 16S ribosomal RNA". It matches the Rfam family "Bacterial small subunit ribosomal RNA", at positions 524 to 776 of the family's 1533-position model. The record is from RNAcentral.